Molecule: ribosomal RNA, 624 nt
Filed under: uncultured fungus
Lineage: Eukaryota; Fungi
Description: eukaryotic LSU rRNA
Rfam family: Eukaryotic large subunit ribosomal RNA
Source: RNAcentral
CCCGCUGAACUUAAGCAUAUCAAUAAGCGCAGGAAAAGAAACCAACAGGGAUUGCCUCAGUAACGGCAAGUGAAGCGGCAACAGCUCAAAUUUGAAAUCUGGCCUCUCGGGGUCCAAGUUGUAAUUUGUAGAGGAUGUUUUGGGUACCGCCCCGGUUUAAAUUUCUUGGAACAGAAUGUCAAAGAGGGUGAGAAUCCCGUCUUGGACCGGCGGUAGGGCCUAUGUAAAACUCCUUCGACGAGUCGAGUUGUUUGGGAAUGCAGCUCAAAAUGGGUGGUAAAUUUCAUCUAAAGCUAAAUAUUGGCCAGAGACCGAUAGCGCACAAGUAGAGUGAUCGAAAGAUGAAAAGCACUUUGAAAAGAGAGUUAAACAGUAUGUGAAAUUGUUGAAAGGGAAGCGCUUGCAACCAGACUUGAGCGCGGCGGUUCCCCUAGCCUUUUGGCUAGGUUACUCCGCCGUGUCCAGGCCAACAUCGGUUCUGAGGGUCGGUCAAAGGCCUUGGGAAUGUAUCUACCUACGGGUAGACUUAUAGACCAGGGUGUCAUGCGGCCUCUCGGGACCGAGGAACGCGCUUCGGCUCGGAUGUUGGCGUAAUGGUUGUCAGCGACCCGUCUUGAAACACGG